UUACUAUAAAGCUGUAUGGAGUUGGAACAGCUUCCCUUAAUUUGCCACUAGGGGCGCUGUUCCAACUCCAUACAAAAAUUUGAGUUA
Molecule: microRNA precursor, 87 nt
Filed under: Bombyx mori (domestic silkworm)
Lineage: Eukaryota; Metazoa; Arthropoda; Insecta; Lepidoptera; Bombycidae
Description: mir-2807 microRNA precursor family
Rfam family: mir-2807 microRNA precursor family
Source: Rfam by way of RNAcentral